CCUACGGGUGGCAGCAGUGGGGAAUAUUGCACAAUGGGGGAAACCCUGAUGCAGCAACGCCGCGUGAAGGAAGACGGUCUUCGGAUUGUAAACUUCUGUUCUCAGUGAAGAAUAAUGACGGUAGCUAAGGAGCAAGCCACGGCUAACUACGUGCCAGCAGCCGCGGCAAUACGUAGGCGGCAAGCGUUGUCCGGAAGUACUGGGUGUAAAGGGAGCGCAGGCGGGAAGCCAAGUCAGGUGUGAAAACUACGGGCUUAACUUGUAUACUGCAGUUGAAACUGGUUUUCUUGAGUGAAAGAGAGGGUGGCGGAAUUCCGGGUGUAGCGGUGAAAUGCGUAGAUAUCCGGAGGAACACCGGUGGCGAAGGCGGCAAGCUGG
RNAcentral lists this ribosomal RNA (378 nucleotides) under uncultured bacterium. RNAcentral describes it as "partial 16S ribosomal RNA". It matches the Rfam family "Bacterial small subunit ribosomal RNA", at positions 338 to 732 of the family's 1533-position model. The record is from RNAcentral.